RNAcentral lists this ribosomal RNA (341 nucleotides) under uncultured Anaerolineaceae bacterium. Its description in RNAcentral is "bacterial SSU rRNA". It matches the Rfam family "Bacterial small subunit ribosomal RNA", at positions 1026 to 1382 of the family's 1533-position model. The record is from RNAcentral. Lineage: Bacteria; Bacillati; Chloroflexota; Anaerolineae; Anaerolineales; Anaerolineaceae.
AGCCUAUACGAGGUGUUGGCAUGGCUGUCGUCAGCUCGUGUCGUGAGAUGUCGGUUAAGUCCGCUAACGAGCGCAACCCUCGUCGUAUGUUAUAUGUGUCAUACGAGACUGCCGGUAAAAGCCGGAGGAAGGUGAGGAUGAUGUCAAGUCAGCAUGACCUUUAUAUCCAGGGCUACACACACGCUACAAUGGUCUGUACAAUGGGUAGCCAAGCCGCGAGGCGGAGCCAAUCCUGAGAGCAGGCCUCAGUUCAGAUUGCAGUCUGCAACUCGACUGCAUGAAGCCGGAGUUGCUAGUAACCGCAGGUCAGCAAUACUGCGGUGAAUACGUUCCCGGGUCUU